Balaenoptera musculus (blue whale) is the source of this 6578-nucleotide RNA transcript. It is a transcript of the gene named FERM domain containing 4A, with no coding region annotated. Lineage: Eukaryota; Metazoa; Chordata; Mammalia; Artiodactyla; Balaenopteridae. The transcript has 24 exons. The record is from RefSeq and is a predicted model, not a curated record.
CACACACACACACACAGACACACACACACACACAGACACACACACACACAGAGACACACACACACACGGCUCUACACCAUGGUGGUUCAGGCUGCAGUGGCUCCGAAUAGAUCCCAGAGACUUUUACUGAAAAUUCCGUAUGGAUCUCUGAGAAGACGCAGCGUGGAGAGGAUGACGGAAGGCCGUCGAUGUCAAGUACAUCUUCUUGAUGACCGGAAGCUGGAACUCCUAGUACAGCCCAAGCUUUUGGCCAAGGAGCUGCUUGACCUCGUGGCAUCUCACUUCAAUCUGAAGGAGAAGGAAUACUUUGGAAUCGCCUUCACAGAUGAGACGGGACACUUAAACUGGCUUCAACUAGAUCGAAGAGUCUUGGAACACGACUUCCCCAAAAAGUCGGGACCAGUGGUUUUAUACUUUUGUGUCAGGUUCUAUAUAGAGAGCAUCUCAUACCUAAAGGACAAUGCCACCAUAGAGCUCUUCUUCCUGAAUGCCAAGUCCUGUAUCUACAAGGAGCUGAUUGAUGUUGACAGUGAAGUGGUGUUUGAAUUAGCCUCGUAUAUUUUACAGGAAGCAAAGGGAGACUUUUCUAGCAACGAAGUGGUGAGGACGGACUUGAAGAAACUGCCAGCACUUCCCACGCAGGCUCUGAAGGAGCACCCCUCCCUGGCUUACUGCGAGGACCGGGUCAUCGAGCACUACAAGAAACUGAACGGCCAGACCAGAGGCCAAGCCAUCGUCAACUACAUGAGCAUCGUGGAGUCUCUCCCAACCUACGGGGUUCACUAUUACGCAGUGAAGGACAAGCAGGGGAUACCGUGGUGGCUGGGACUGAGCUACAAAGGCAUCUUCCAGUAUGACUACCACGAUAAAGUCAAGCCCAGGAAGAUAUUCCAAUGGAGGCAGUUGGAAAACCUGUAUUUCAGAGAGAAGAAGUUUUCUGUGGAAGUUCAUGACCCACGCAGGGCUUCAGUGACGAGGAGGACGUUUGGACACAGCGGCAUCGCAGUGCACACGUGGUACGCGUGUCCGGCACUGAUCAAGUCCAUCUGGGCUAUGGCCAUUAGCCAACACCAGUUCUAUCUGGACAGAAAGCAGAGUAAGUCGAAGAUCCAUGCCGCCCGCAGCCUGAGCGAGAUCGCCAUCGACCUGACGGAGACGGGGACGCUGAAGACGUCCAAGCUGGCCAACAUGGGCAGCAAGGGCAAGAUCAUCAGCGGCAGCAGCGGCAGCCUGCUGUCCUCAGGUUCUCAGGAAUCAGAUAGCUCGCAGUCGGCCAAGAAAGACAUGCUGGCAGCCUUGAAAUCCAGGCAGGAAGCUCUGGAGGAAACGCUUCGCCAGCGGCUGGAAGAGCUGAAGAGACUCUGCCUACGAGAAGCGGAGCUGACGGGCAAACUGCCCGUGGAGUAUCCCCUGGAUCCAGGAGAGGAGCCACCCAUUGUUCGAAGAAGAAUCGGGACAGCCUUCAAACUGGACGAGCAGAAAAUCCUGCCCAAAGGAGAGGAGGCCGAGCUGGAGCGCCUGGAGCGGGAGUUUGCCAUUCAGUCCCAGAUUACGGAGGCUGCCCGCCGGCUGGCCAGUGACCCUAACGUCAGCAAGAAACUGAAGAAGCAGAGGAAGACCUCUUACCUGAAUGCACUGAAGAAGCUGCAGGAGAUUGAAAGCGCAAUCAACGAGAACCGCGUCAAGUCUGGGAAGAAACCCACCCAGCGGGCCUCGCUGAUCAUCGAAGAUGGAAAUAUUGCCAGUGAAGACAGUUCCCUGUCAGAUGCCCUUGUUCUAGAAGAUGAAGACUCUCAGGUCACCAGCACACUGUCCCCCUUACAGUCCCCUCACAAAGGGCUCCCUCCUCGGCCACCGUCGCACAACCGGCCGCCCCCUCCCCAGUCCCUGGAGGGACUCAGGCAGAUGCACUAUCACCGCAACGACUAUGACAAAUCGCCCAUAAAGCCCAAAAUGUGGAGCGAGUCCUCCUUAGAUGAGCCUUACGAGAAGGUCAAGAAGCGUUCCUCCCACGGUCACUCCAGUAGCCACAAGCGCUUCCCCAGCACGGGGAGCUGCGCUGAAGCGGGCGGGGGCGGCAGCUCCCUGCAGACCAGCCCCAUCCGCAGCCUCCCGCCCUGGAACUCGCAGCGCAGCAUGCCGUCCACACCCGACCUCCGAGUCCGGAGUCCCCACUACGUGCAUUCCACGAGGUCGGUGGACCUCAGCCCCACGCGGUUGCACAGCCUCGCCCUGCACUUCCGGCACCGGAGCUCCAGCUUGGAGUCCCAGGGCAAGCUCCUGGGCUCGGAGAACGACACGGGGAGCCCCGACUUCUACACGCCGCGCACGCGCAGCAGCAACGGCUCGGACCCCAUGGACGACUGCUCGUCGUGCACCAGCCACUCGAGCUCGGAGCACUACUACCCGGCGCAGAUGAACGCCAACUACUCCACGCUGGCCGAGGACUCGCCGUCCAAGGCGCGCGCGCGGCAGCGGCAGCGGCAGCGGGCGGCGGGCGCGCUGGGCGCGGCGAACUCGGGCAGCAUGCCCAACCUGGCGGCGCGCGGCGGCGGCGGCGGCGGCGGCCACGGCCACGGCCACAGCCACGGCGUCUACCUGCACAGCCAGAGCCAGCCCAGCUCGCAGUACCGCAUCAAGGAGUACCCGCUGUACGUGGAGGGCGGCGCCACGCCCGUGGUGGUGCGCAGCCUGGAGAGCGACCAGGAGGGCCACUACAGCGUCAAGGCGCAGUUCAAGACCUCCAACUCGUACACGGCCGGCGGCCUGUUCCGGGAGAGCUGGCGCGGCGCCGACGAGGGCGACGCGGGCCGCCUGACGCCCUCGCGCUCGCAGAUCCUGCGGACUCCGUCGCUGGGCCGCGACGGCGGCGCCCACGACAAGGGCGCGGGCCGCGCCGCCGUCUCGGAUGAGCUGCGCCAGUGGUACCAGCGCUCGAGCGCCUCGCACAAGGAGCACAGCCGCCUGUCGCACGCCAGCUCCGCCUCCUCGGACAGCGGCUCCCAGUACAGCGCCUCCUCCCAGAGCACCUUCGUGGCGCACAGCAGGGUCACCAGGAUGCCCCAGAUGUGCAAGGCCACGUCAGCUGCCUUACCUCAAAGCCAGAGAAGCUCAACGCCGUCCAGUGAAGUUGGAGCGACGCCCCCCGGCAGCCCUCACCACAUCCUAACCUGGCGGACUGGAGAAGCAACAGAAAACUCGCCCAUUAUGGAUGGGUCUGAGUCUCCAACUCACCAAAGUACUGAUGAAUAGAGGUAUCGUAAGGGCAUGUUUCGUUCUUACAGCCUUCCCCCUUCACUGCUCAUGAGUCUGUGAUCUCAGAUGUGCUGCAGCUGUGUUGCCUUUGCCCGAGCUACAACGAUAGCUGUUUCCUGGAUUCCUCCCUCUAUCCGGAACUAGCUGAUGUCCAGUGGUACGGGCAAGAAAAAGCCAAGCCCGGGACCCUCGUGUGAGCCAGCCGGCCUCAAUCUGGCCGCCUCGAUGCCAUUCUGAGAUCACCUCACUGCCUCUCAUUUGCCUUACCCAGACGCAGUGUCACCCUGCACCAGCUUCGGCCCUCAGCACUUUUCUUCUCCUGUUUCCGCGUCCCCCUCACCCUCCAACAACCUGACUGGGGAGACAUUCUGGAAGGUUCCGGUCCCACUGUGUGUCCCCUGGCUCCCUUGCCCAGAGAGCCAGGCACCAAUCCUCAACGGCACCUUGGUGGCUCCCCCCUGCUGCGACAGCCCCCUGGCCGGGAACCAUCAGGGAAGCUGGCUGGCCUGGAUUCCUGUGGGCUAGUGGCAUUGGUGGAGACCAGGAGAGGGGACUUACGUACAGGGCGAUCCAGAAAGACUGUGAAAGCUGGGGCCCCCCUGGAGGCCCCACCAAGCCCUUGGUGACGAAGAUGCCUCGUGCGAACAUUCAGCGGACAGCUGAACUACUUCCUGGGAGGAGUGACUGUUGCGGGAGCAGGGAGAACGGAAACAGAAGCUGAACACGUCAGAGAUGCAUCCAAGGAUCACAGUCAGUUAUGCUGCCAAAGAUUUUAAAAAAUUAAAAACUGAAAACACACAAAAAAUUAAGAGGGGCCAAGAGGAAGACGUUCUUUCUGCAAUGAGACCUCCUUUAAAUCCUCCACUGCUAUUGCAUCCCACACGUGAACGUCAGCCAUCUGUGACGGGUGCCCCUCUUCACCCCUCUCCAUCGAGAGCCUGAAAACUAACCCCAUGUGAUGGCCACGUCGGGGGACCCCUGGCUGGCACUGCUGACUUGGAUCUCCACGAGUCUGGACCCCAAGGAGAACAGACCCACGGGGAGUAGCGGAGUGUCCGCUUAGCCCCGGCCUGCAUGGGGGGUUCAGCCCAAGACACAAAGCUGCUUUCCUUUGCGGAUUUGUAGGAAACGUAAGGUGAUGGUUGCCAAAAGUGGUUCUCUCUCAUUAAAACAACCAGUAAAAGUGUACCCUAUUUUUUUCUCACAAGGUGUUUCAUUUGAUUUCUUAUGGGAAGCCAAGGGAAAAAGCACACUGCAAUCCAUUCAAGUGUUUAACUGUCGUAGCCCAUUUUCUGUUUGUUAGCACUCGUGUGACAAAGAGCUCAGAUCCGAUGGCACCCGGUUACCAACGUGUCACUUCUUCCAGGAACCCAACUAUGCCCUUAGGUAGGAAGACCGUACUCACAUGUCUACUAGCUGGCAGGCAGAGCAGGGUUGAAAAAAUGUAUCAGCUCCCAGAGGGCCCAUAUGCCUACGACAUCAUCAGCGACCUUGAUAUGUCACGAUGGUCUGCAGGUACCAAAAAAGGAAGAGAGAAGAAAGGUGUGUGGGAGCUGCACGUUUACAUGUGUUUUGAGCUAUGCUUAAUACACAACUGGAGAGCCAUCAAUCUUCAGAGGCCUCAAAAAUAGUUUUAUAAUACUAACAAGUGCGCACUCGUAGUUGGGUUAUUUCAAAUGGCACAAACACGGUCUCCACAGAGGUGGGAUGCUGUGCUUAUGGGCGCAAGUGGCGGGGCGGGGGGGGAAAUUUCUUUUCUCACUUGUAAUGACUUCCUACUGGAAAGGCAGUGGACAGCCAGAGACAGGAGCUGGGGUGGGGGAGAUUUGUGGGCAAGCAGAGUUGAAGUUAGCUUUAGCGUAACAAGAAAAAGCUUUGUUUUUUAUGUAUAGGCAAUCCAAGAAUAAACAACAGACUCUACCAGACCAGGAGGGUAAGAACGGACACUUAGCAUUGGUUAAAAUGAACUAUCAGGAAAUACCCACGGUGCUCCCCCUGCGGGCUCACGGCAGGCUGGGGCCAGGCUGGACGGCUCAGGGCCGGGCUUCCCUGGCUCUGUGCACUGCUGGGUUGGUGAUGCCAGCUUGCGGAAGGGAUUAAUAUUCACAGAACACUUUAGGGGUGAACCCUGCAGGGCAAAUAAAAUUGGUUAUGAUGAUAUUAAACGAUUCUGGGGAUUGACACGGGCAGGGGUGUUGCUCUUAUUUUGAUGCUCAGAGCUACAAACAGCAGGUUUUUCUUUCCCCAUUCGGAAACAUUCUGUAUUAGGCCAGAUUCUUUCUCCCAAAAGAAGAUGCAUGAAUAAUCAAACUGAACUCUGUCCCAGAGGAAAAGUCAAAAGGGAAAUAGACGAGGUGACCAGGUUACAUACUGCGGAUGAUACAAAUCAAGUCUGAAGUCAGUCGGAUCAAAUUUUUAGCCCAGUUGGGUUACAAUGACUGAGAGACAAAAAUUCUUUCUAAACACUUGGGUGUGGGAUUCGGGGGGCAGAAAGGAAUGGAGGCAGGAUAGAGGGGCAGAAUUACAGUUCAGGCAAACAGUAUGAUGGUCUGGUAGUAAAGACGGAGAUUAAGUAAAACAGGUUUUACUGUUGAGCUGCGUUCAGUUCCUACAGGAUGUACAUAAAAGUGCUGGUCCUUUGAGACUGACGUGGUUAAUGAUGAGUGUGGUGGGAAAUGAUAUAGUUACUGUACACAAGCACUGGCAAGCUCUUUAUGUAUCCCUAUUUCUUUAAGGCAAAUUAAGAUGAAAUAUGAAACCCCUGGUCUGAUACAAAGCCCCUACUGGAUUCUUUGGAUACGUAUAAGAAACUGCCUGUUUAGCCAGAAGGCUGGUGAAAACACCUACGUCAGACUUUGUUAUGAGACAGAUGGGUUUUUCUAAUUUGAUCAUAUGCAGGUGAGUGUUGAAACCGUUCAAAUUCCAAUUUGUUUUCAUUCGGUAUUAGUUUAGUUCUACACAUAGCAAACCCCAUCCAGGUGCUAUCAGAUGACCAGUUACUGCUUAAUUAACUAGGUGUAAAGUUUUACAUAUACAUUAAUGUCAAUAGUUUAUUACAAGUCGUGUAAAAUGGACUCUAGUUUAAUAAUGGGGAAGAAAGGAUUAGGUCGCUCCUGAAACUGACUUGUAGAGCAUGUAAAAUGAUUUUACUGGAUUCUGUUCAACUGUAAUCAAUGACAAAGAUGUAUGUUGUAGACAAAGUUGCAGAAUUAAAAAGAAAUCUGCUUUUAAUUUAUUCUUUUUGUAUUAAGAAUUUGUAUAGUACCUUUACAUUUUGCAAAACAGUGUUGUCAACACUUAUUAAAGCAUUUUCAAAAUGAAAA